Nothobranchius furzeri (turquoise killifish) is the source of this 1057-nucleotide long non-coding RNA. RefSeq lists it as uncharacterized. Lineage: Eukaryota; Metazoa; Chordata; Actinopteri; Cyprinodontiformes; Nothobranchiidae. The record is from RefSeq and is a predicted model, not a curated record.
UGCGCUCAUCGGACUGUGAAUGUGUGUAAAUGUUUAUUAUUUAGCACUUGAUUUUCUAAGUGCAUGUAUGACGUGUUGUGAAUGUGACAUGUAGUCCAGAGCGCUUUGAGUAGUCUGGGAGAGUCGAAAAGCAAUAUAUAUGAAUCAUUCCUUUCAUCAUAUUAGUGAGUGUUUGUGUAAGUGAAUUACUUGUAUUAUGUCAACCAAUGUAAACCUUUAAAACUAAAACGUGUAUUUUUUUUUUACAUUACUAUACUCAUGAGCUAAUAAUUAUUUCACACUCAGGAUGAAGGAAACAGUGGCGGCGAAACACUCGAGAUGUAUCCACCUGAAAAGGAAGGAAAUGAAUCUCUCUUUUUGCUCAAACAGGAUGUUUCAGAGGACAGUGAUGACAAUGGCAUUUUCCAAAACAUUUCUCCUGAAUUGAAACAGCCACAAACUGGUGUGUCUACACCACAAUCGUCUACAUCACUCGAACAGGACUGGAGUACAGAUUCACCCAACAACAGUGACAGUAAUGCUGAAGAGGAAUUCUACAAAUGCUCAUUGCCACAGCAGCCUUGUUUUUUUUUUUCAUUGACCCGAAAGACUGGCAAGACCUAAGAAAAACGCAGAAAGGGAGGCUUUUCAAAGGACUGCAGUGGACUAAUGUUGUAGCCACUGGCAUUAAGUCAGUACACCCAUUUUGCAGUUUUGGAUUUAAGAGGCAUACCAUCAACACCAGUCAGUCACGGUCUAAGAGGGCUGUGUUCUCAUGUAAGGCAUACUGCCGUUUUAAGGAUUGUCCAGUGACUGUGACAGUGGAGGUUAAAGAUGAAAAAACCCUGAAGGCUGAUGUGCUUUUCCAAGGAGGUGAGGUGUGCCACAACACAAAGGAAAUAAAAACAAGACCUGUGCGUGGACACUCCAGAGACGAAAUAGCAGAACAACUGGAAACCAAAAUGCCAAGAAGUCUUUAUCUGGAUUCUCUAAUUAAAAUACCAGAAAAAGCUUUCCAAGCCGGGUGUCGGGAUGAGGCUCCAUCUAAAGAGGUCUUGAAAAAUAUUGCCUGGUCCCA